GGAUAAGCUAAUAGAGAAAACUUCUAGAGUUUGAGAAGAAGAAGAAGCAGAAAAUGGAGAAGUACUUUGGAAACGCAUACAGGGGUGACCCGGGAGUGCCACAUGCCGACCCGGAACGGUUCGUGAAUAUAUGGAUCGGGUCUGCUGCUUUCUCUGCACUGACAUGGAUCAAUCCCUACAUGUGGACUCUUUCCAAUCAAUACAACUGGCAUGACAAAGCCAUGCUUUUUGAGCAAUAUCACUGGAAGAAAGCUCUCAAGAAAAAUCAGGACUAUGAAUUCAAGUGGAACCAAUACAUGGAUAAAGAUACCCGAGACUCGUACUACUUCAAUUGGCCUGUUUACUUUCCAUAAGUUUCUCCAAUUUAUCAGCAUGCUUCUGUUUCCUUUUGAAAUUUCUGUUGAUACUAUGAAUCAAAACAUUUUUAGCCUCUGAAAAGUUUGGUGAUCUUCCAAGUGCUGCAUGAUUGCUUUUUCUAAUUGAUGGUAUUGCUCCAUCUGUUAUUUAGACUCAUACUGCUGUGUCCUUGAGUUCUACUUUAUCUUAAGAUGACAAAAAAGGCGAACGAUACAUGUCCACCGAUUCAGUGUGUU
RNAcentral lists this unclassified non-coding RNA (593 nucleotides) under Hevea brasiliensis (rubber tree). The record is from RNAcentral. Lineage: Eukaryota; Viridiplantae; Streptophyta; Magnoliopsida; Malpighiales; Euphorbiaceae.